UGGUGGAGCGAUUUGUCUGGUCAAUUCCGAUAACGAACGAGACUCUAGCCUACUAAAUAGUUCGGGACCCCACAAGGGCCCCGCUUCAACUUCUUAGAGGGACAGGUGGCGUUUAGCCACACGAGAUUGAGCAAUAACA
Molecule: ribosomal RNA, 139 nt
Filed under: uncultured eukaryote
Lineage: Eukaryota
Description: partial 18S ribosomal RNA
Rfam family: Eukaryotic small subunit ribosomal RNA
Source: RNAcentral